RNAcentral lists this ribosomal RNA (477 nucleotides) under uncultured bacterium. Its description in RNAcentral is "bacterial SSU rRNA". It matches the Rfam family "Bacterial small subunit ribosomal RNA", at positions 78 to 548 of the family's 1533-position model. The record is from RNAcentral.
GCUUGCUGCUUUGCUGACGAGUGGCGGACGGGUGAGUAAUGUCUGGGAAACUGCCUGAUGGAGGGGGAUAACUACUGGAAACGGUAGCUAAUACCGCAUAACGUCGCAAGACCAAAGAGGGGGACCUUAGGGCCUCUUGCCAUCGGAUGUGCCCAGAUGGGAUUAGCUAGUAGGUGGGGUAACGGCUCACCUAGGCGACGAUCCCUAGCUGGUCUGAGAGGAUGACCAGCCACACUGGAACUGAGACACGGUCCAGACUCCUACGGGAGGCAGCAGUGGGGAAUAUUGCACAAUGGGCGCAAGCCUGAUGCAGCCAUGCCGCGUGUAUGAAGAAGGCCUUCGGGUUGUAAAGUACUUUCAGCGGGGAGGAAGGGAGUAAAGUUAAUACCUUUGCUCAUUGACGUUACCCGCAGAAGAAGCACCGGCUAACUCCGUGCCAGCAGCCGCGGUAAUACGGAGGGUGCAAGCGUUAAUCGG